UACGUAGGGUGCGAGCGUUUAAUCGGAAUUACUGGGCGUAAAGCGUGCGCAGGCGGUUUUGUAAGUCAGAUGUGAAAUCCCCGGGCUCAACCUGGGAACUGCGUUUGAAACUACAAGGCUAGAGUGUAGCAGAGGGGGUAGAAUUCCACGUGUAGCAGUGAAAUGCGUAGAGAUGUGGAGGAAUACCAAUGGCGAAGGCAGCCCCUGGGUUAACACUGACGCUCAUG
Molecule: ribosomal RNA, 227 nt
Filed under: uncultured bacterium
Lineage: Bacteria
Description: partial 16S ribosomal RNA
Rfam family: Bacterial small subunit ribosomal RNA
Source: RNAcentral